CUGGGCUUGACAUCCCGAGAAUCCCCUGGAAACAGGGGAGUGCCCUUCGGGGAACUCGGAGACAGGUGCUGCAUGGCUGUCGUCAGCUCGUGUCGUGAGAUGCUGGGUUAAGUCCCGCAACGAGCGCAACCCUUGUCUUUAAUUGCCAUCAUUAAGUUGGGCACUUUAGAGAGACUGCCGGUGUUAAACCGGAGGAAGGUGGGGAUGACGUCAAGUCCUCAUGGCCUUUAUGCCCAGGGCUACACACGUGCUACAAUGGGUGGUACAAAGAGCAGCAAACUCGCGAGAGUAAGCGAAUCUCAAAAAGCCAUCCUCAGUUCGGAUUGAAGUCUGCAACUCGACUUCAUGAAGUUGGAAUCGCUAGUAAUCGCGGAUCAGCAUGCCGCGGUGAAUACGUUCC
This 400-nucleotide ribosomal RNA is filed under the name uncultured bacterium. RNAcentral's name for it is "bacterial SSU rRNA". It matches the Rfam family "Bacterial small subunit ribosomal RNA", at positions 975 to 1374 of the family's 1533-position model. The record is from RNAcentral.